UACGGGGGGAGCAAGCGUUGUUCGGAUUUACUGGGCGUAAAGGGCGCGUAGGCGGUCGUGACAAGUCACUUGUGAAAUCUCCGGGCUUAACUCGGAACGGUCAAGUGAUACUGUCGGACUAGAGUACAGAAGGGGCAACUGGAAUUCUCGGUGUAGCGGUGAAAUGCGCAGAUAUCAGGAGGAACACCGGUGGCGAAGGCGGCUUGCUGGGCCAGUUCUGACGCUGAGGAGCGAAAGCGUGGGGAGCGAACAGG
RNAcentral lists this ribosomal RNA (254 nucleotides) under uncultured bacterium. Its description in RNAcentral is "partial 16S ribosomal RNA". It matches the Rfam family "Bacterial small subunit ribosomal RNA", at positions 524 to 776 of the family's 1533-position model. The record is from RNAcentral.